CAGGGGUUUAGGUUAUACUAAACCAGCGGCCUUCAAAGCCACAAAAAAAGAAACCUCUUUAAUCCCUG
This 68-nucleotide transfer RNA is filed under the name Gerrhopilus ceylonicus (Jan's worm snake). Its description in RNAcentral is "transfer RNA-Trp". Lineage: Eukaryota; Metazoa; Chordata; Lepidosauria; Squamata; Gerrhopilidae. The record is from RNAcentral.